GGUGGAACCCAUAAAUGUGGGGUGGGACCCAUAGAUGGGGGGGGGAUCCAUGGGGUGGGACCCAUAAGUGGGGGGUGGGACCCAUGGAUGUGGGAUGGAAUCCCCCCCGUGCCCCACACACUAUGGGGCAGAAGCCCUCCGUGCCCUAUAGCGGGCCAAUCUAUGGGGCAGAACCCCCCCCUGCCCCACAAGUGAUCACAACCACAAACUGCUCACUACCGACACUACUUUAUUGUGGGGCGGGGCCAGCUAUGGGGCAGAGCCAUGGGGCAGAGCCAUCAUCUAUGGGGCAGCGCCAUCUAUAGGGCAGAGCCAUCAUCUAUGGGGCAGCGCCAUCUAUAGGGCAGAGCCACCAGCUAUGGGGCAGCGCCAUCUAUAGGGCAGAGCCAUCUAUAGGGCAGCGCCAUCUAUGGGGCAGCGCCAUCUAUGGGGCAGCGCCAGGCAGCGCCGUCUAUGGGGCAGAGGCACCAUCUAUGGGGCAGCACCAUCUAUGGGGCAGAGCCAUGGGGCAGAGCCACCAGCUAUGGGGCAGCGCCACCAUCUAUGGGGCAGGGCUGUGCUAUGGGGCAGGGCCGUCUAUGGGGCAGGGCCGUCUAUGGGGCAGAGCUGUGGGUCAGUAGUUGGAGGAACGCUCCUGUUGUCUGUAGGCCCCACGGCGAAGGUAACCGCCGUCCCCCUUCCGGUAGCCGUCCUUCUGAUCUGUGGGGCACAGAAACACUUAUGGGGCAGAGCGGCACUUAUGGGGCAGCUAUAGGGCACUUAUGGGGCAUGUAUGGGGCAGCCAUGGCGCAGGGAAGCACUUAUGGGGCAGAGCAGCACUUAUGAGGCAGCUAUGGGGCAGAGGAACACUUAUGGGGUAGCUAUGGGGCAGAGAAAUAUGGGGCAGCGAUGGGGUAGAGGAACACUUAUGGGUCAGAGCAGCACUUGUGGGGCAGCCACGGGGCACUUAUGAGGCAGCUAUGGGGCAGUUAUGGGGCAGAGCAGCACUUAUGGGGCAGCUUUCAGCUUUGGGGCAGAGCAGAACUUAUGGGGCAGCUAUGGGGUGCUGUGGGGAGGAUAUGGGGCACUACGGGGUGGAGAUGGGGCAGUUAUGGGGCAGUCGUGGGGCAGCUAUGGGGUACCUAAAGGGCAGCUAUGGGCUAUCAAUGGGGCAGUUAUGGGGCAGCUAUGGGGCAGCCAUGGGGCAGCCAUAGGCUACCU
Molecule: long non-coding RNA, 1200 nt
Filed under: Chrysolophus pictus (golden pheasant)
Lineage: Eukaryota; Metazoa; Chordata; Aves; Galliformes; Phasianidae
Description: lncRNA (ENSCPIG00010000549.1)
Source: RNAcentral